AGGGUGGUCCCAAGAAGAAAAAUUGAAUAUUGUCACGCCUAGGCCACCACAUGCAGAGAGGUUAGUGAGGUUUUCUAAAUUUCCCAAGAGCUGCCUUCUGUAUAACUUUAGCGGGAAGACCCUUCCAUUGAUGACACCUCUCUCUCCCUCCCUCCCUCUGGUUUGCUAUAAAGUAAGCAUCAACUAUGUACCAAAAAGAGCCUGAAACGCAAGUAGUAUACAGGGGACCAGUUUGCAUGGCUUCAUAGCUGUUCCAUAAGGUUGACACAUAAAGCAAAAGAAAGGAAAAAACACCUUAGCCUAUCAAAACCCAUCUUUUCUCUUGAUGGAGGAGUGCAUAAUUUACUUGGAAGAUUGCUUUUUCUACGUGGCCCUUUCGUUCGUUCAUCAAUGAUGGUAACCUGUUUAUUCCUCACAAUUCCUUAAUUAUGUAUCUGCAUAUGUGCCUACUUGCUAGAUCGAUCUGCUUUUUCAUUGGUGCCAGUCACACACUGGAAGCAAUUAUUUUGAAGAACUUGUAUACCACUUGGGAGGUAACACAUGGAACAUUAGCCUGUAAAGUGAUGCCUUCGACUUUGGAAAUUAGAAAAGAGAUCGAUUGCUUACGCUUUGAUGAGAGUUGGUUGUGAUUUGGACUCGCUGCUGCUCCUUUUCAUCCUUUAAUUUAUUCUCUUAAUCAAGUUGUUUAGGAGGUUCAAGACAUCGGAUUGUAUGGUGGGGAAUUUGCCUUACACUAAUAAUUGUAUAUAUAUGCUCCCAUUAACCGAUCACCGGCGGCUCUAAGUCAUAAACCCUAAUCAGCUGUAGCUGAUUACGCAUGCAUGAUACCUUUAAUUUUAUAUAUCCAUGCCUUUACUUUCUUCUUUAUGGAG
This 872-nucleotide long non-coding RNA is filed under the name Populus tremula. RNAcentral describes it as "long non-coding RNA (PTRE_LNC002411)". The record is from RNAcentral. Lineage: Eukaryota; Viridiplantae; Streptophyta; Magnoliopsida; Malpighiales; Salicaceae.